CCGAGAGAGUGAGAGAGAUAGAGAUAGAGAGAGAGACAGCUAAAGAAAGAAUGGGCAGCCACUCUGGUGCACUCUGGUGGUUCUUGCAGCGGUGUCACUGCUGCUUGACAGUCCGACUGUGGCAUUGUGGCUCAUGUGGGAUUCAGCGGAAACACUGCAAACUACUCUAUUCCCAGUGGACGUAUGUAAAUGGGAACGGACGGAUUUUCUUCUCCAAAAACUUGUUCCACUUUAUGUUGAUGUUUCCCGGAUCAGAAAGAGUUGCAACUCCGUGAACUAAUACAACUUUGUGAAGAGUUUGGAUACAUCUUUUUUGAAGAACAUGCUGCUGUUGCCUCCACCAGAAGAACUUCCACUAACAAUCACGUCUUGUUUAUCCCGUACGGAAGCCACUACUGCCUUUUGAACACUGCCAAACAAGACUUCUCAAGUUCUGAAAUGUAAGCUGUGACUGCAAAGUAAAUAAAACCUGUUAUUUAGUGAGCAGAUGUAUGAUGUUUGUAAGAAGCAUAGAAUCUUUCGUUUUGUUAACUUUGACUUAAAAAACAUCUUUAGCUGAUUAUAAUGGAUGGAAACCUGAGCACUUCAGCAUCCUACGUGAUCAACAGAACAGAGCCCUAUCACGUGGCGGCGGGACCCUGGAGCCUCAUCGUACUGGUCAUCAUAAUACUGACUAUAGUGGUGGGAAACCUGCUGGUGAUCAUCGCUGUAGCUCGCACUUCACAGCUACAAACAACGACAAACAUUUUCAUUAUGUCCCUGGCAUGCGCAGACCUCAUCAUGGGGGUCCUCGUGGUGCCUCUGGGGGCCACUAUUGUGGUGACUGGUAAUUGGCAGCUCAGUGUCACAUUCUGUGAGUUCUGGACUUCUGUGGACGUCCUGUGUGUGACGGCGAGCAUCGAGACACUCUGCGUCAUAGCAGUGGAUCGGUAUAUAGCCAUCACCAGGCCGCUCCGACACAAGGUUCUACUCAAUAAGUGGCGUGCAAGGUCAAUAGUCUGCUUAGUGUGGGUUGUGUCCGCUUUAAUUUCCUUUGUACCAAUUAUGAAAGGGUAUUGGCAUGAUAAUGACGAUGAAGCAGCGAAGCAUUGCUACAAGACCCAGACAUGCUGUGACUUUGUGACCAACAGGGCCUUUGCUAUUGUAUCUUCGAUAGUGUCUUUUUACAUUCCACUGCUCAUAAUGAUAUUUGUGUAUGCUAAAGUCUUUCUAAUAGCCACACGGCAGGUAAAGCUCAUAGAUAAGAAUCGCAUGCGUUUUCAGAAUGAGUGUCCAAUCGGGCAGGUGCAAGUUGACCCUCACAUGAAUAAUAUCCUGUCAACGGCGUGUGCCGGUUCCACCAGCUGCAGCAGCGCGAUGCGGAGAAAGAGUGUCAAACGGAGGCCGUCACGGCUAAUGCUCGUCAAAGAGCACAAGGCCCUGAAGACUUUGGGGAUCAUCAUGGGGACCUUCACUGUGUGCUGGCUGCCGUUCUUUGUCGCCAACAUCAUCAAUGCAUUUGAAAGAGACAUUCCCUCAGAAAGGAUCUUCCGACUGUUGAACUGGCUGGGUUACAUCAACUCCGGCCUCAAUCCUAUCAUCUACUGCAGGAGUCCUGAGUUUCGUACUGCGUUCAAGAACCUGCUGGGCUGUCCGUGGUGGUCCAGCCUGUGGCUCAAUACUUUCUACAAAGAGCUGCGGACUAGCUGCUCCUGCUUUCUAUGGCAGGCUGAGUCGGGCACUGCAGCAGGGUCUUUCCAAAAGCCUCCAACUGGUAGGACUGAGGUCAGUGAGAGUCUGGCCAGUACUCAUGGAAGCAGCAAAAGUGAAGAGGCUUUCCCUGAUCCUCUGCAGUCCAACGGCAGCACACAAAUCAGUGACUUAUCAGAGCCAGAAACCAAAUUCUGACCCCAAAGAGACUGUAUGGACUGGAGAGAAAACAGCUGAUUUGGUCUGUACAGGAGCAGAGAGAUGGACUGCUGCAGCUCAGCACCUCACAGGCACUAAGUGACAACAAAGUAUCCUGAAUGAGACAAUGCUGCAAGUUGUAAAUGCAUUCCAGUUAACCUUUGGUCACAGUGUAUGUGGACUGUGGUUUAAAAAAUGACAGAAUGAACAUGUGUGUACAGUAUUUUAUCUGAUGAGAGAGGACACGGAGAGCGACAGUUCGUUCUCAACAACAAUGGCGAUGCCUGGAGAGGUUAAAGUAAAUAUCCGACGCCAUCCGGCUGGUUUCCCCGUCCCCAGCGAAGCUACUGCCGGCGCGCUCCGCUCCUCUGCCCCAGCUGCGCUGGCUCUGUGGCUUCACCAUUGAUUGCAUCCUCCAUGAUUGCAUGGUUCUGCAGUAUUCCACCUCGCAGCUCCUCGGACUCAACAACUUCUCUGCUCCUCAGCCACCAAGGCACUCGGACUCCUGGUUAUCUGAGGGAGAUUGUAGUCCUCUUAUAGAGGCAACCCCCCCUGAUUUUACCCACCUUCAUCAACCCCGGCUGUCAGGCAGAGGAGGGGGGGUUGCUAUUAUUCAUAGAAAAGGUUUUAAAUGCUCUCCCAUCUCACAUGGUAACUAUACAUCUUUUGAACAUCUUGGUGUUAUGGUUAACUCUAAAGACCCUGUCAUAAUUGUUAUAAUCUACAGACCGCCAAAGUCUAACAGUGUUUUUAUCCAAGAGUUUGCCGAACUUUUUAUCCCAACUUCCCACAACUCACAGUACACCUGCCCGUUGCCGGGUUUUUAAUUCCAUGUCUGCUAGCAAAUUUUCAGAGCGUUUUACUGCUGCUUCUUUAACUGCUUUUAAUCCACAUUCUGAUACUGAGGAGCUGGUCCCUCUUUUUAAUCACACCUGUCAGACUGUCCUGGACU
RNA transcript from Cyclopterus lumpus (lumpfish), 2839 nucleotides. It is a transcript of the gene named adrenoceptor beta 3a, with no coding region annotated. The transcript is spliced from 3 exons. Lineage: Eukaryota; Metazoa; Chordata; Actinopteri; Perciformes; Cyclopteridae. The record is from RefSeq and is a predicted model, not a curated record.